AGGGGCCGGGCGGGACCGGGGCCGGACCGGGACAAGGGCCGGGACAAGGGCCAGGAACGGGCCGCGCCGGGGCGGCCCCGCGGGCACCGGCGGCGAUGGCACCGCGGCUGCAGCUGGAGAAGGCGGCGUGGCGCUGGACCGAGACGGUGCCGCCCGAGGCGGUGGCGCAGGAGCACAUCGAGGCGGCCUAUCGCGUCCGGCUGGAGCCCUGCCAGCGCGGAGCCUGCCGGAGGAACUGCCGGGGGAACCCCAACUGCCUGGUGGGCAUCGGGGAGCACGUGUGGCUGGGUGAGAUCGACGAGAACAGCUUCCACAACAUCGACGACCCCAACUGCGAGCGCCGCAAGAAGAACGCCUUCGUGGGCCUGACCAACCUGGGGGCCACGUGCUACGUGAACACCUUCCUGCAGAUGUGGUUCCUGAACCUGGAGCUGCGCCAGGCACUCUACCUGUGCCCCAGCGCCUGCAGCGACGGCGUCCCCAAGGACACAGACUACGAGCCCCAGAGUAUCUGUGAGCACCUGCAGUACCUGUUUGCGCUGCUGCAGAACAGCAAACGGCGCUACAUCGACCCCUCGGCCUUCGUCAAGGCCCUGGGGCUGGACACGGCCCAGCAGCAGGAUGCCCAGGAGUUUUCCAAGCUGUUCAUGUCCCUGCUGGAAGAUACUUUAUCCAAACAGAAGAACCCAGAUGUCAGGAACAUCGUGCAGAAGCAGUUCUGUGGAGAGUAUGCCUAUGUCACUGUCUGCAACCAGUGUGGCAGAGAAUCCAAACUGGUGUCCAAAUUUUACGAGCUGGAGUUAAACAUCCAAGGACACAAGCAGCUGACAGACUGUAUAACAGAAUUCCUCAAGGAAGAAAAAUUAGAAGGGGACAAUCGUUACUUUUGUGAGACUUGUCAGAGCAAGCAGAAUGCCACGAGGAAGAUCCGCCUGCUCAGCCUGCCCUGCACCCUCAACCUGCAGCUCAUGCGCUUCGUGUUCGACAGGCAAACUGGUCACAAGAAGAAGCUGAACACCUACAUCGGCUUCUCGGAGCUGCUGGACAUGGAGCCUUUCAUGGAGCAGAAAAAUGGUGUGUACGUGUACGAGCUGAGCGCCGUCCUCAUCCACCGCGGUGUCAGCGCCUACUCCGGCCACUACAUCGCCCACGUCAAGGACCCGCAGACGGGCGAGUGGUACAAGUUCAACGACGAGGACAUCGAGAAGAUGGAGGGCAAGAAGCUGCAGCUGGGCAUUGAGGAAGAUCUAGCGGAGCCGUCGAAAUCCCAGACUCGGAAGCCCAAGUGUGGGAAGGGCACCCACUGCUCCCGGAAUGCCUACAUGCUGGUGUACAGGCUGCAGGCCAGGGAGAAAUCCCUCACUGUCGAGGUGCCAGCUUUCCUGCAGGAGCUGGUGGAGAGGGAUAACUGCAAGUUUGAGGAGUGGUGCAACGAGAUGGCCGAGAUGCGCAAGCAGAGCGUGGCCAGGGGGAAGAUCAAACACGAGGAGGUGAAGGAGCUCUACCAAAGGUUACCCGCCGAAGCUGGUUCCCCCUACGACUUCAUCUCUCUGGAAUGGCUGCAGAAAUGGCUGGAUGAGUCCACUCCUCCCAAACCUAUCGACAACACGGCCUGCCUGUGCUCCCAUGGCAAACUCCAUCCCGAUAAAAUAUCCCUGAUGAAGAGGAUUUCGGAAUACGUGGCCGACUUCUUCUACCGGCGCUACGGGGGAGGGCCCCGGCUCAACGUCAAAGCACUUUGCAAGGACUGUGUGGUGGAAAGGUGUCGAAUCCUGCGGCUCAAAAACCAGCUGAACGAAGACUACAAAACUGUGACCAACCUGCUGAAGGUCACGGUCAAGGGGAACGACGGGUUUUGGGUUGGAAAAGCCUCUUUGAGGAGCUGGCGUCAGCUGGCUCUGGAGCAGCUGAACGAGCAAGAUGAAGAUGCAGAGCACAGUAACGGCAAAAUGAAUGGAAAUGCACAAAACAAAGAUGAAUCAAACGAAGAGAAGAGGGAGGAGGAAGAGGAGUUAAAUUUUAAUGAAGACAUCGUUUGCCCACACGGUGACCUGUGCAUCUCCGAGAACGAGCGCAGGGUGGUUUCCAAGGAAGCCUGGGAGAAGCUCAAGCAGUAUUUCCCCAAAGCCCCCGAAUUCCCAAACAACAAAGAGUGCUGUUCCCAGUGCAAGAUUCUGGAGCGUGAAGGGGAGGAAAACGAAGCUCUGCAUAAGAUGAUGGCCAGUGAGCAGAAGACUUCUCUCCAGAACCUGUUCCAUGAUAAAUGCAGGCCUUGCCUGGGCAGUUGGCCUCAGGAGACAGAUGAGCUGUAUAUUGUUUCGCAGUUCUUUGUAGAAGAAUGGAGGAAAUUUGUCAGGAGGCCGACGCGCUGCAGCCCCGUGUCCUCCAUAGCCAACAGUGUCCUGCUCUGCCCCCACGGGGGGCUCAUGUUCACCUUCGCUUCCAUGACCAAAGAAGACUCCAAACAUAUAGCUCUGAUAUGGCCCAGCGAGUGGGAGAGGAUCCAAAAGCUCUUCGUGGUGGAUCACGUCAUCAAGAUCACCCGGACGCAGGGGCCCGAGGGCAGCCGCUACACCUCAGAGCCCCAGCUGUGCCCGGAGUGCCGGGAAGGGCUCCUGUGCCAGCAGCAGCGGGACCUGCGCGAGUACACCCAGGCCACGGUGUACGUGCACAAGGUGGUGGAUAACAAAAAGGUGAUGAAGGACGCGGCUCCGGAGCUGAACGUGAGCAGCUCGGAGGCUGAAGAGGAAAGGGAGGAAAACAAGCCAGAGGGGGAGCAGGAUCCCGAUUUUAACCAGGCCAACGGCGGCACGAAACGCCAGAAGCUGUCCCAGCAGAGCUACAUCACCUACCAAAAACAGGGAAUCAGGAGGAGCACCCGGCACAGGAAGGUCCGAGGGGAGAAGGCCCUGCUGGUGUCGGCCAACCAGACCCUGAAAGAGCUAAAAAUACAGAUCAUGCACGCCUUCUCCGUGGCCCCCUUCGACCAGAACCUGUCCAUCGACGGCAAGAUCCUGAGCGACGACACAGCCACGCUGGGCAGCCUGGGCGUCAUCCCCGAGUCCGUCAUCCUGCUCAAGGCUGAUGAGCCCAUCGCGGAUUACGCGGCGAUGGAUGACGUUAUGCAAGUUUGUAUGCCUGAAGAGGGAUUUAAAGGGACUGGUUUACUCGGCCACUGAUGGUUUUCCAAGAGGAGCGACCCGAAGGGAAGAGGAUUUUGGGACGUGGUAGGGGCAUUCAAAGCAUCCAAAAAAAAAGUUGGAUCCGGGACUUUGUGACUCUUCCAGGAGGCAGGAAAAACCCCGAGCGAGGCGUGUGCUCCCCACAGCAAACCAAACCAAUGCCUUAUGUCAAAGCAGAUUGCACUGAAGGACAUCCCUGCUCCAGGAGAGCCGGCCCGGGGCUGGCAAAUAAACAACAGCCAGGUUGGGAAGCUGAGCAGCGGCAGUCGGUGUGUUCGGGGCGAGGGGGUGUCCAGUGAUCCCACAGAUCCCAACCCUCCUGCUCCAUCCUCCUCUCUGGGAUAACCCAAUCUUUGAUCCGCUGUCGGGCCCGCUUGGAAGUGGCAGGAAUUGGGACUGGGUGGGGAACGUCUGGCACACACACACACACAACGAAAUCUUCAUUGGUUUCACCCCAAAUGGGAGCUGGGAUCUGCUUCCCAAACCUUCCCCUCUCCCGCGUCCCUCCGCCACUUCCACACCUUGGAUGAUCCAAGAGCCACCUGUGCUCUGGGAACUGGUUGUUUUGGGUUUGUUUUUAGAAAUUUGAGGUGUUUUAGCAACUCUGGAGAACAUUUUCUUCCCGGAGUGCUUGGGACAGCCAGAGCCAGCAGGGGGGUGCGGGUGGGAGGUGAUUCCCAUGGGAAGAGGUUUUUUCCCCCCCUUUAUCCUCAUUUUUCAGCAAUGCACUAAUUAUUAUUUUUUUUUUAACAUCUCCCAGCAAGGAUUUCUCCCCAUUAAUAUUUAGCAGGAACUAUCCCACUUCCAGACUGAUCCACACCAGGCACUGCCAAGGGAUCUCUGUCCUGAAAUUCCAAGUUUCCUCUUCCUUUCCAGCCUUUUCCCUUGUUUCCUUGGAAAAACACAAUGUGGAGAUCACUCAGUUUUAUUUUGUCAAGGUUUGCGAGAAUUUGGGAUGCAAGAAGAAGGGGGAGGGGCAAAAAUCCCAUCCCCCAAAACCCCACUAGUUUUGAUUUCCAAGGUUUGAUUUCCAAGGUUUUAUCCCAAGAAUUCCAGCUGUUCUUUGCCAAACUCCCUCUCCCCUGUCCCUGCUGGAUUUGGGGGUGAAGCAGCACCAUUUGAGGGGUUCUAAAGCUCCUAAGAAGUGGUUUUUUGGGGGGCAGUUUGGAUUCUUUCCCAAGGUACAGACAUGAGGAAUUCCAUGUGCCGAAGCCACAGGAGGUUUUUUCUUCCCAGCCUGAAGCACUCACUUGUGUACAUAUUCCUUGGAAAUUCCAUCUUUUCAAGUUGCUGUUCAUUUUUUUUUAUUGUUAUAUAUAUAUAUAUAUAUACAUAUAUA
RNA transcript from Empidonax traillii (willow flycatcher), 4521 nucleotides. It is a transcript of the gene named ubiquitin specific peptidase 48, with no coding region annotated. The transcript is spliced from 28 exons. The record is from RefSeq and is a predicted model, not a curated record. Lineage: Eukaryota; Metazoa; Chordata; Aves; Passeriformes; Tyrannidae.